GCUGGAGAGAAUGAGCUUGGAGCCGCAGGGCUUAAUCCCGCGCGGCUCAGAGAUGGGUUUCUGGACUCGCGAAGCAGCUGCAACAAGGCAUCACUCACUGUAUAAGUAUUUCCAUUUCUGAGAGCAAAAGGAAGAACUUAAGCGGGCGGCACUUGGAGUGUAAAUUGCUUUGUAGUAUUUAAAGGCAGAAUGGAUCCUGGGCAGCCGAGCUGCAACAAACCGGCAGGACUUCCUGUGAAAUCAUGACCACCAUGUGCUCUUUCAGCCUCUAUCAGUUCCUACCUCUAAGCACCUGAGAGCCAAAGCAAACCACAGGAAACCACAGACUCAAACUAAACGUCAGCUUUUCCCGGCUCUCAAGCCUGCUGGUCCCUGAACUAAAACUCACAUUAUCAACUCUACUGGUUCUUAGGCCUUUGGAGUCAGACUGGAACUACAGCAUUGACUCUUCCGGAACUCCAGCUUACUGACUACAGAUCUUGGAACUUUUCAGCUUCCACAACCAUAAUGAAAGCCAAGCAUAUUCCAUCAUUUCCUAAAACCAAGAUAGAGCACAUAUGGGAACUUGUGAAAUAAG
Molecule: long non-coding RNA, 577 nt
Filed under: Homo sapiens (human)
Lineage: Eukaryota; Metazoa; Chordata; Mammalia; Primates; Hominidae
Description: non-protein coding LINC01322:14
Source: RNAcentral